CGCUCCUGCGGCGGCGGGGGGCGCGGCGGCGGGAGGUUCCACCCCUGGCGCCGCAAUGCGGGCCGCAGCCCCGGCUGGACUGGGCGUUCUCAAGCUCCGCCCCCUGACGCAACGUGUCUGGGCGGUGCGCGAGGGGCGAGCUCUGUGAUUUCGCCGCUCGCCGAGGCUGAGGCUCCGCCCCUCCCCGCCCCUCCCAGCACGCGGGUCUGCGACACCCGCGGCCUCUGCGGGCGCCAGCGCGCACCCCGGCUCCCAGCUGUCCCCAGUCGGCAACCACAUCACUGAAAACAGCAAACACAAGCUGCACGGCCUGCGGUUUCUGCUACUGUAAGCCUCGGCUCCUCUUGAUGUCCCCGGAGCCCGAGAACUCGUACUGCGUCAUCUCGUGGAGCUCCGCCGGAGCUGUCAAGGAGGAGGAGGCAGAAGCACCGAGUGACACCAAGGUGGGACUCACCUGGCGCGGGUGAAGCUCAGCCCCGCAGGUCUGGCGUCCCCAGCGCAACAGCCCACGCCUCCGUGACGGAAGCUGCGGCGCGCCCUGCAGCGCACACCGGGGCCUGCGUUUAGGGCUUCUUUCUCCUUGCUUGUCUUCCCACCGCUGCGAAGUGGUCUCUGCACAGGCUUUUGGUCUCCGUGUGUGCAGGAGUUAAUUACAAAACUAAUACACUCGGGCUAGGAUUGUGGCUCAGCGGUAGAGCGCCCGCCUAGCAUGGGCGGGACCCGGGUUCGAUCCUCAGCACCA
This 742-nucleotide long non-coding RNA is filed under the name Marmota monax (woodchuck). Lineage: Eukaryota; Metazoa; Chordata; Mammalia; Rodentia; Sciuridae. The record is from RNAcentral.